Long non-coding RNA from Actinia tenebrosa (Australian red waratah sea anemone), 494 nucleotides. Lineage: Eukaryota; Metazoa; Cnidaria; Anthozoa; Actiniaria; Actiniidae. The record is from RefSeq and is a predicted model, not a curated record.
AUCCUGUUAAGCCUACAGGGAAUUCUGUGACUCUAAAGGACAAAUUUGACGUUCCAUUAUGGUCAGUUGAUCCUGUCAAUGGACCAAUCAGUUCAUAUCAAGUUAUCGUAGUCAAAGGAAACAAAGAUGUCAGUGACUUACCAACAAAUAUCGGUGACUACAAAGAUGCACAGGAGCUUUACGUCGCAGCAGAACUGAAACCAAACGAGAUCAAGUCUUCUUUACCUGUGGGUGACAAUAAAAUAUAUGGACAUUAUAAAAAUGUACCACUAGACAAAGGAAAAAUAUAUACUAUUGCAGAAAGAGCGAUUACUGAACAUCAAGGAAAAAUUUACGCGGGCCAAUCUGCAGUAGUAGCUACAGUUGAAGYGACUCAAGGUAUAACGCCAAAUAUCUUACUAAUUCUUUAAGAUUGUUGCAUGGAAUUAUCUUGUUUGUAACACUACUGUUUUACUACUGUAUUCGUACAAAAGAUCAAAGACAAAAAAUGUGAA